GGUGAACGCUGGCGGCGUGCUUGACACAUGCAAGUCGAACGGUAUGUGGCAACACAUAGAGUGGCGAACGGGUGAGUAACACGUGGGAACGUAUCUUUUGCAGGGGGAUAACUGACCGAAAGGACAGCUAAUACCGCAUAAGUCCGGGAGGAGAAAGGUGCAACAGCAUCGGCAGAAGAGCGGCCCGCGGUCCAUCAGCUAGUUGGUGAGGUAAGGGCUUACCAAGGCGACGACGGAUAGCCGGCGUGAGAGCGUGGCCGGCCACAAGGACACUGAGAUACGGGUCCUACUCC
Molecule: ribosomal RNA, 293 nt
Filed under: uncultured bacterium
Lineage: Bacteria
Description: partial 16S ribosomal RNA
Rfam family: Bacterial small subunit ribosomal RNA
Source: RNAcentral